Heterocephalus glaber (naked mole-rat) is the source of this 5228-nucleotide RNA transcript. It is a transcript of the gene named caspase 10, with no coding region annotated. NCBI's taxonomy places the organism in Eukaryota, Metazoa, Chordata, Mammalia, Rodentia, Bathyergidae. The record is from RefSeq and is a predicted model, not a curated record.
UUAACCACAUCUGCCUAGUUGCUUAGCCAGUCUCUUGCUAAUGUAAUACUUUUGAGUGAUACUGUCUUAUGAAACUUUGAGUCUCUGAGAUCCCAGAAUUUCUCCACUGCUUCUGGUUUUCUGUCCUACAGUGCAUAAAAAGGAGCCAAGUUUCACCUGUCUGCCCUCAGCCUCCCACCAGCUCACCAUCUGGCAUCUCUGGCAGAAAUCUCUCAUCAGAAGCUAACUUCACUGGACUCCCGGGCCGUCAGAGUGAGCAGGGCGGUCUGGAACACACAGAUGAAGCCAUGGGCUGAUUUGAGGUGUGUGCACCUGCCUGUGGUCCUGGAAGCUGGGGGUGAUGAAUUAGUAGCCUCAGGGCCCUCUUUGGACCCUUUCAGGGUGGGAUGGGUGUCCCAGUGCCCACUCUUCCCUAGCAAGUCCCCCAUCACCUGUGUCCAUGCGUCCCCAGGGAACAGGAGUAGCAAGCAGCCUAACGUUCACACUUGUCCAGGCUACCUAGUGACUGAACAGAGUGGAGAACUUGGAUAGGAGCCUCGCUGGAAAGGAAAACCAAUUCCAUCCACUAUUCCCACCUCCCAGAGUGGAGACAAGGAAAGGCAGGGAUUUUCCCUUAGCCAUCACGCAGUCGUAGCCCCUGCACCAUAAAACACUGUGAGGUGUGACUGAUCCUUCAAGCUGCACUCAGCCAGGAAGGAACCAUGGAAAGCCGGAUCUGCUUCAGCUCUGGAGCUGUGUGCUAACAGAGCAGGAAUGAGGCAUGGGCUCAGGUCUCUGGCUCCAACUGCUUCCUUUGCAUCAGUCCCUUGAGUGCUAGGGAUGCCAGGAUGAGAGCUGCUGACCUGGAGGUGGCUUUGCCUCCCCUGCUCCUGGAGCUCCUGUGGCACUGAGGACAGCUUCCCCAGUGACAGCCAGCAGGGGCCUGGGGUCAAGAGCACUCAGUUAGGGGUCAGAGAGACCUGGGCUUGGGCCUGGGGUCCCAGCUCUCCUUGGCUCUGGGGUGGCGGCAGGCACCGCUUCACUCAGCCUCAGUUUCCUGUUAAUGAAUGCAGACAGCAGUGCUGACAUGGACGGCAUGUGCCUCGGUGCUGUCCACAUCCAAAGUAAACUAAUAACAUAAAAUUAGGUGCUGUCCAAGGCAGGGCGCUGUGGAUGCUCAUCCGAGAGGCCGUGAAGCGUGGUUGACAGGGAGGAGGCGCUGGCCCCACUCUGCUUCCUCCUCGUGCCGACGCAGCCCUGUGCUUUAGUGUUCACAAUUAUGAAGUAAAAGGUGACAGUUCCUGUGCCUUGAGAACAGGGCAGAGGGGAAGAGGUAGUUUCACAAGAUUCCCCCCAAGUGCCCCGAGAGCUGAAAAAUCCACAACUGAACGACUCAAUUAGAACUAGAUGUGGGGCUUUCAUAUUUAGAUCUUUAAAAAAAAUUAACACACAUCUCACUGCUGUGGUAAUAAGCACCCGUAAGUGCAGCACCAGUGGCACGCAGGAGACGCUCGCUGUGGUGUCUUGUUCUCAAGCACAGAAGCCUCAAUGCUGCCUGGGGUGAAGAUGGCACCUCAGUGUACCCCCUAGCCAUGCCUGUGCCCUCUUCCGGCCGGCUCACUGAGUCCGAGGGCCCAGAUGACAGAGCCUUUCUGUCAACAGCAGACUCACAGUAGUAGUGUCUUUCUUAGAGGGCUGUUGGAUGGUCAAACCUGUAAAGGUUUAUACAGAUACUGCCUGGUACAUGGUAGGUAGUGUGGUGUUUGGUAAUGGUUUGCAUUUUGUCACUCGCCAGUGUCCCUGCAAUUCUCUUUCCUGCCAGGCUGACUGCCUGAGGGUGGACAACACCGAUGGGUGGGUUACUUGGGACAGCGUCCCCGGACGGCCUCAGUCCUCCAUUGUCACUCUUGGUUUUUCAACACUUUCUGUGCUCGUAGAUGUAAUUAAAACGUUUGUUUAUGUGCGAGUGAGCAAACCUAAGAGGAAGGUGACUGACUGCCUGCUGUUCUGUGCGCUGUCUCUGGCUCUCUGAGUUUGUCUCAGACGCCGAUGUGGGGGGUGGGGGGGAAUCGCCUCUUUCCUCUUGGGGGCUGAGACCCCAGGCGGGAGCUGGGCUCUGCAAGCCUUUGAGGUCUGUAGGAGGAAGAUGUGCGCUCUGCCUUUAGGGGACGCUGCUCUUCCGGGAUCUCCACUGCCAGGAAAGGGGAGGGCAGAGGCCAACAGCUGUGGUGACAUCAGCAAGGGGCCAGAAUCAAGUUACUCAGCCCAGAGUUCAAGUUUUCAGUUCCAGUUUCCAGAGUGCAAGUUGGGAGUUCAGAGUUCUCUUCCUGUUGAAAUGGGAGCUUCCUGGGGCAAGCAGAGGACUCUUAUUUAAAGCUUUGUUUGUGGGCCUUUUCUGGCAGAACCACCUCCUCCAGUGAUCGCUGGAGCCUGAGAGAAGGCAGGAAACUGAAUCCCACAACCAGGGCGGAAGGAGGGGGUGAGGACUCAGCAAGCUGUGAAUCAUCAUUCCCCAGCACCAGCCAGCCUGUCUCCUGAACUCAGCUUGGCCAUGGCCUCUCGAGGUGGGAGUCUGGGCUCCAGUUCAGAUGAAGACAGCAGCAUGAGCUUUCGGGAGAAGCUUCUGCGGAUCAACUUGAGCCUGGGGGCCCAGGACGUGGAGGGCAUGAAAUUCCUCUGCAUGGGGCUGGUCUUUGAGAAGAGGCUGGAGAGGUCCAGCUCAGCCUCAGAUCUGUUUGACCUCCUCCUGGAAGAGGAGCUGCUCAGUGAGGACAAUGCCUUCUUCCUGGCCGAGCUCUUGUACAGCAUCAGGCAGAACUCACUGCUGCGGCACCUCGGAUACACCAGGGAGUGUGUGGAGCAGUGGCUGCCCACCCGAAGGAGGCUGUCCCUGUUCAGAAACCUGCUCUACGAGCUGUCAGAAGCCAUCGACUCAGAGAAGCUGAAGGACAUGACCUUCCUUCUUCAGGACCACAUUCCCAAAACCCAGAUGACUUCUCUAAGUUUACUGGCAUGUCUAGAGAAACAAACUUUAAUAGAUGAAGACAAUCUGAGGUUACUGGAGAAAGUCUUCAAAUCUGUUGCGCCCAACCUUGUGAAAAAGAUAGAGAACUACAAAAGAGAGAGAGCUGCCCAGGAAGCGAUGCCUCCCACAGACAGGGAAACGGAGUCACUGCAUCAAGGAGAGGAAGAAGUGUUUUCCCAUUCAGACAUUAAACAGCUUGUUCAGGCUUUACCGGAGGUGGAUGUGUACAGGAUGGACCGGAAGCACAGAGGGCACUGUGUCAUCAUCAACAACCACAGCUUUGAGGGCCUGAACGAGAGGACAGGGACGCACAUGGAUGCUGAGUACCUGAGGCGUGUGUUCCAGUGGCUUGGCUUCACUGUGCACAUGCACCAUGACGUGACCAGAGAAGGCAUGGAGAAGAUUCUGAGGGAGCAAAGGAGUCACCCGGGCCAUGCUGAUGGGGACUGCUUUGUGUUCUGCAUUCUGACCCAUGGAAAGCUUGGGGCCGUCUACUCCUCAGACAAGGCUCUCAUCCCCCUGCGGGAGAUCACAUCGCACUUCACAGCCCAGCAGUGCCAGGCACUGGCUCACAAACCAAAGCUCUUUUUCAUCCAGGCCUGUCAAGGUGAAGCGAUGCACCCUUCUGUGCUCAUUGAAGCAGAUGCUCUGAACCCUGAGUGUGUGUCCCCUUCCCUUCAGGGUAGUAUUCCAGAGGAGGCAGAUUUCCUGCUCGGUCUGGCCACUGUCCCUGGCUAUGUGUCCUUUCGGCACAAGGAGAAAGGUAGCUGGUUUAUUCAGUCUCUGUGCAAUCAUCUGAAGAACCUGGUCCCAAGGCGACAGGACAUCCUGUCCAUCCUCACGGCCGUCAACCAGGAUGUGAGCCAGCAGGCAGACGCCAGCGGGAGGAAGAAGCAGAUGCCCCAGCCUGCCUUCACACUCAGGAAGAAGCUGGUGUUCCCCGUGCCUUCAGAAGCACUCUGACCAUAGCAGAGUUGUCAUCAGCUCCGUGGCCUGGAUGGGGCCUUUCUUGUUCCUAGGACUCAGCUGGCCCGGGAUUUGGUGAGGGAUGCUAGCCAGCCUCCCGGCGCUGGAAAAUGCCUUGCUUUGGGACAAUGAGGAACUUCUUUUGAAGUCCUGGAAACAUAUUGUGAAUCCUUGAAGGGUUGAUCGAAGGGAGUGGAAAAUCCCAUGGUGGAGACCUCCAUUCACAGGUGAGGCAGCCGAGGCCCAGGAGGCAAAGCGACCCGCUCACGCCCCGCCAGCCAGUGGGAGAGGGUCCUGCGUCCAGCAGGGUGGACUAGAACACCACGGGGCACAACAGGACGUACGACUGCACAGGGGAUGGAGGUCCUCGUGGAAGAGCCAAAGAAUGAGGAGGAAGAGCUCUCAGGAAUGCUUGGCUUUAUAAUUAUUUACAUGCAGCCCAAAUUCACGGCCAGUGAAUUUGCUGAGAAGUGUUUAUAGGAGUCCUGUUACCACAUAGUUGAUCAUUUCGUGAAUUUGGGUGUAGCCUGCCUGAUCGGGGAAUAAGACUGAUCAUACGUCGGGAUGGGCCUCCCAAGCAUCGCUCGUACCAGUCAAGGCUAAAACCUGGUCAUGUUUGGAGACAGGGUCUCGCUGUGAGUCCAGGCUGGGCUUGAACUCAUGGGAAUCCUCCUGCCUCGGCCUCCCGAGUGCCAAACUACAGGCCUGUGUUACCAUGCCCAGCUGUCACAGUUUUUGUCUAGUUGGAUACACGUAGCCUGUGGCCACUUUGCAGUCCCUGACUCAAGUAAAGGCUGGUGUGGUACAAAGAGCACAGGGUCUGGAGAUCCAAGGCUUGGGUUUCCAUUCUGCACAGCAGCUCUGGGCUGAGACACCAAGUCAAGCUCUUUCUGAGCCUUCUCUAUAGGGAGACAUUAGUGGUGGGGAUGGGAGAGUGUGCCCCAGGGUGCCCAUUUAAACUGAAUUGUGCCCCUGGGGCAGAGUCUGUGGUUAGGAACCAGAUGGAGAGAGCAGGACUCAAGGUCCCUCACAUCUAACAGCAGCGAUGCCCCAACAUCCUGGAGCCAGGCCUGGGUCCCCCUGGUUCCCAGGGUCCCCAGCACAGCAGGGCGGCUCUUGGCUCCAAGUCCAGUUCCCACCACUGAUGAAAUCUCCUCAGAAGCACUUGAUGUUGAUGUCCUGCACCUGUGGUCUGUGUCUUGUUUCUGUUUUGCUAGAGCGUGGUGCUUUUGCAAGAUUAAAUUCUAGAAUCGGAAAA